ACAUCCAAGAUGGCGCCCCCAGGAGCUGGGAGCGGGUGACCGGCGGCGGGGAAGCGGCCUGGGCUGGCCCUCAGAUUGCGGGGUCCCGGGGGCCUGUCGCGGGGCCCCCCCGUGACCCACCGACCAGGCCUUCCCCCGGGCCGGAGAGAUGGCCGCCGAGAACAGCAAGCAGUUCUGGAAGAGGAGCGCCAAGCUACCGGGGAGCAUUCAGCCUGUGUAUGGGGCUCAGCACCCUCCUCUGGAUCCUCGGCUCACAAAAAACUUCAUCAAAGAAAGGUCGAAAGUCAACUCAGUUCCUCUGAAGAACAAGAAGGCCUCCAGUUUCCACGAGUUUGCGCGGAAUACCAGUGACGCCUGGGACAUUGGUGACGAUGAGGAGGAGGACUUCUCCUCACCUCCUUUCCAGACUCUGAACUCGAAAGUGGCUUUGGCGACUGCAGCCCAAGUCCUAGAAAACCACAGCAAGCUGAGGGUAAAACCGGAAAGGUCGCAGUCGACAACAUCAGACGUCCCCGCCAACUACAAGGUCAUAAAGUCCAGCAGUGACGCCCAGCUGUCCCGAAACUCCAGUGACACGUGCCUGAGGAACCCGCUCCACAAACAGCAGUCUCUCCCUCUCCGACCCAUCAUCCCCCUUGUCGCCCGGAUCUCAGACCAGAAUGCUUCUGGGGCUCCUCCAAUGACAGUCCGGGAGAAAACGCGCCUGGAAAAGUUUCGCCAGCUGCUUUCCAGCCACAACACUGACCUAGAUGAAUUGAGGAAGUGGAGCUGGCCAGGCGUUCCCAGGGAAGUUCGACCAGUGACCUGGAGACUGCUGUCGGUGAGUUCCAACCACCAUGAAGAGAAGCUUGGGCCUCAGACAGCCCUCUGCCUGCCAAGGGCUAUCUCCCGGCAAACACCGAGCGGCGGAAGUUGACCCUGCAGCGGAAGCGGGAGGAGUACUUUGGCUUCAUUGAGCAGUAUUAUGACUCUCGGAAUGAAGAGCACCACCAGGAUACCUACAGACAGAUUCACAUUGACAUUCCGAGGACGAACCCUCUCAUCCCCUUGUUCCAGCAGCCGCUCGUCCAGGAGAUCUUUGAACGAAUUCUGUUUAUCUGGGCCAUCCGACACCCCGCCAGUGGGUAUGUCCAGGGAAUUAAUGACCUGGUCACUCCGUUCUUUGUCGUCUUCCUCUCGGAAUAUGUAGAAGAGGACGUGGAGAACUUUGACGUGACCAACUUGUCUCAGGACAUGCUGCGAAGCAUUGAAGCCGACAGCUUCUGGUGCAUGAGCAAGCUGCUGGACGGAAUACAGGAUAAUUACACGUUUGCACAGCCAGGGAUCCAGAAGAAGGUCAAGGCGCUGGAAGAGCUCGUCAGCCGGAUCGAUGAGCAGGUACACAGUCACUUCAGGAGGUACGAGGUGGAGUACCUGCAGUUUGCCUUUCGGUGGAUGAACAACCUGCUGAUGCGGGAACUUCCCCUACGCUGCACCAUCCGCCUGUGGGACACGUACCAGUCUGAGCCAGAAGGCUUCUCGCACUUCCAUCUCUAUGUCUGCGCCGCCUUCUUGAUCAAGUGGAGGAAGGAGAUUUUGGAUGAGGAAGACUUUCAGGGCCUCCUCAUGCUGCUGCAGAACCUGCCCACAAUCCACUGGGGCAAUGAGGAGAUCGGGCUGCUGCUGGCUGAGGCCUACAGACUCAAGUACAUGUUUGCAGAUGCCCCCAACCACUACCGCCGAUAGGUGCUGUCUCCCCUGGGGACCCAGACUGCCCCCAUCUCUGAUGGCAAUUUCAUCACUGUGGCCACCGUGGACCCCGGCCAGGAACCACUCCUGCUGUACAAAGCUCGCCCCACACCGCAGCCGCAGCCACCACCACCACCGCCACCCAGGUCUUAACUUCCCAGCAUCCAUCACUUCGUCUCUGGGUGUGUCUGGGACGACUGUCAGUAUUCUGUCCCGUGUGGAUAGGCCCGGCUCUGGGAGAGGGCCGAGAGGAGGUGAGAGUUGUCCUUCCCUCUGGAAGACACUGGACAAAAAAAGGGGAGGCCCCGGGUCUGCCCCACAGUGUCCCACACGCACCCGCGGCCGGCCGGCUCUGCCCGGGAACCAGCUGGUGACGCUUUCUCUUACUUUCUUUUUUUAAACAAGGAAAACACACAUUUUCUAAAAUGCCCAAGGCAUAGAACAUUAGGCUCUGUGCUGUUGCUUCUGUGACUCAGUUUGAUCUGGUCACUGGUCAGAGACACUUUGUUUUCAAAACACUCCGCACCUCCCUCCUUUUCCCUCAUCCCCCCCCCCCCCCCCAGUCCUCCUGUCCCAGAUGAGCCAGUGACACAGUGAGUGAGCCCUUCCUUCUCAGGCGGAGGAGUCAGGCCUGUGCUCAAGGGCUGGGAAAUAUGUUUGUCCUAUCCUCACAGAUUAUCUGUUCCCUUGUGAGUGGAGUGUGCCCGAGUAUGUGUGUGUGUGUAUGUACACCCGCGUGCAUGAGUUGUAUGUAUGUGAGUGUGGGUAUGUGAGCGUGUAUGUGUGCCCGCGCGCGCACACAUACACAUGACUGUGUGAGCGUGUGUGCGUGGUGUGUGUGUGUGUGUGUGUGUGUGUGUGUGUACAAGCCCAUCAGCAUUUUGUCACAUGUCUGAAUUUGUGUCCAGACUAACCCAUCAGAACCGGUUGGGAAGGACCCCAGGGACCAAGCAUCUGAUGGUCCCUCAAGAGGGACCAGGGCCGGGGAGGGAGAAAGAGGGUUAUUUAGUUCUGUUUUAACCACCUCUUGGAACCCUAUUUCCAGGGUGAAGCACUCCAAGAUAUUAUGUAUAAAUUGUGUUAUUAUGUAUAUGGGUAAAGGUGUACAAAUCUAUGUCCUCUUUGUAGCAGAUAGGAUUUUAUAUUUAUAGCGUGCAUCGACACGUGAAAGCGAGCUAGGUCAUCAGCACAGAUGAAGAUGCUUAGGGGAGGGGCCUGGGGCCUGGAGGAGGUGGCUGGAGGGUGUGGCCAACAAUCAGUGUCUCCACCUUCCCCCCUCUCCCCUUUCUUCCAUCCUUCCGUGGCCUCUGUCUUUCCCUUCUCCUCACCCCAGGAAGGACUGUAGAGGCAGAAGGGCUCCCUCAGGUUUGCCGGCCCAGCCUUUGUCUUCUCAGUGUAAGUCAGCACUGUGGUCAGGACGGAGCUGGUGACAAGUCAGUGCCAAGAGAAGGUCCCUGUGUGUCCCCAAGACCGGGAGCUCUUCCUGGAAAGUGGCAUUAAGUGUCCCCUACUGCCACCAUCACACCCCGAGGCUCAGGGGACAAGGACACACGCUAGAGUUCUGGCAUUUGGUAGUGGAGAAAGGAUGGAGGCCAGUGGUUGUCGUCCCCUUGGGGUGCCAGGCAGAGUUCCCAGGUGUGACACCGUGAAGCUCACUUCCUGUGUCACUCACCUCAGGCCACACCUCACCCCUGUGAGUUAGCUCCCUCAGCCAGGCUGUUUCUCAGGCGUUCUUCCCAUCCCCCACCCUCCCCUCCUGCACCUCAGUAGCCUCCUUCACUCUCUGACCCUCCCUCCGACACACUGAGUAAAGACAGAGACUUGUGUUCCCAAGUGGUGGUUUUAUUUUUUUAGUUUAUGUCUGUCUGGGAAAUUGUGGAUAAAGUGAAUGGACUGUAAAUAAAUGGUGUUUCCUCCUC
RNA transcript from Mus musculus (house mouse), 3647 nucleotides. It is a transcript of the gene named TBC1 domain family, member 22B, with no coding region annotated. The transcript is spliced from 13 exons. The record is from RefSeq and is marked validated. NCBI's taxonomy places the organism in Eukaryota, Metazoa, Chordata, Mammalia, Rodentia, Muridae.